RNAcentral lists this ribosomal RNA (382 nucleotides) under uncultured bacterium. RNAcentral's name for it is "bacterial SSU rRNA". It matches the Rfam family "Bacterial small subunit ribosomal RNA", at positions 29 to 414 of the family's 1533-position model. The record is from RNAcentral.
AUUAAACGCUGGCGGCAUGCCUUACACAUGCAAGUCGAACGGCAGCACGGGGCAACCUGGUGGCGAGUGGCGAACGGGUGAGUAAAGCAUCGGAACGUGCCCUGGAGUGGGGGAUAACGUAGCGAAAGUUACGCUAAUACCGCAUAUUCUGUGAGCAGGAAAGCAGGGGAUCGCAAGACCUUGCGCUCUGGGAGCGGCCGAUGUCGGAUUAGCUAGUUGGUGGGGUAAAGGCCUACCAAGGCGACGAUCCGUAGCGGGUCUGAGAGGAUGAUCCGCCACACUGGGACUGAGACACGGCCCAGACUCCUACGGGAGGCAGCAGUGGGGAAUUUUGGACAAUGGGCGCAAGCCUGAUCCAGCCAUGCCGCGUGAGUGAAGAAGG